This 468-nucleotide ribosomal RNA is filed under the name uncultured bacterium. RNAcentral describes it as "partial 16S ribosomal RNA". It matches the Rfam family "Bacterial small subunit ribosomal RNA", at positions 28 to 507 of the family's 1533-position model. The record is from RNAcentral.
GACGAACGCUGGCGGCGUGCUUAACACAUGCAAGUCGAACGGAAAGGCCCUGCUUUUGUGGGGUGCUCGAGUGGCGAACGGGUGAGUAACACGUGAGUAACCUGCCCUUGACUUUGGGAUAACUUCAGGACACUGGGGCUAAUACCGGAUAGGAGCUCCUGCUGCAUGGUGGGGGUUGGAAAGUUUCGGCGGUUGGGGAUGGACUCGCGGCUUAUCAGCUUGUUGGUGGGGUAGUGGCUUACCAAGGCGUUGACGGGUAGCCGGGCUGAGAGGGUGACCCGCCACAAUGGGAAUGAGGAACGGGCCCAACUCCCAAGGGGGGGAAGAGUGGGGAAUAUUGCCAAAAGGGGGGAAGCCUGAAGCAGACACGCCCGGGGGGGGAAGAACGCCUUUGGGUUUGAAACCCCUUUCCGCCGGGAAGAAGGGGAAGGGGCGGUAAAUGGGGAAAAAGGACCGGCUAAAUACGUG